Gambusia affinis (western mosquitofish) is the source of this 1316-nucleotide long non-coding RNA. RefSeq lists it as uncharacterized. The transcript has 3 exons. Lineage: Eukaryota; Metazoa; Chordata; Actinopteri; Cyprinodontiformes; Poeciliidae. The record is from RefSeq and is a predicted model, not a curated record.
GCACAAACUUGCAUAUCACUAUCUGUCACUGCUGCUCAUAUUUUCUUGACCUCAUAUUCCUUUUGACUUUCCUACAAAUAUCAAUACAAGUCUGAACUGCUGGGCCAUUCGGAGACAGAGAUGGAAAUGGAGUAAUCAGAGGAAAAGUGGUACAGCUGUGGCAGGGACAUGGAAGCUGGUCAAAGUUGAUGAGAAAAUGGAUGGAGCUGAAUGCCGAUGGGACAAGACCAGUUAGAUGGAGCAAAAGACUUCAGACUGGGGCAGAAAUAAACGUUUUUAAAGUCAACCAGAUCUACAAAAAACAGUUUGGAUCAAAGUGCAUCCAGUGUAAACCUAAUGCAGUUGAGAAUCUGUGUUAAAGCCACAAAGAUUGAUGUUCAGAGUUCCUCUACGUCUAUUUUUAAUGAGCCUGAGAGAUUUUGACUGAGGAAGACCCUGCAGCUGUAGCUGCAGUGAAGGAUGUUUCUACAAAGUGUUGACAGGAAGAGGUUGAUCACAUUUUUUAUUAUAAAAAAUCAGAAAACACUGAAUCAUUUCCUUCCACUUCAAAGUUUUGCAAUACUCUUUUGAUGGGCAAAAACAAAACAUACUAAUGAGAAAAGUGAAAAUGUGAAAAAUUGUGAAAUAAAUAUUAUCCUCCUUUGGAAAAACAGAUUUUUCCUGUUAGCUUCAGAUGCAUCACAGAAUCUUUUUAACGAGACUCCUUGUUGUGUCAAAUCGCCUGAAGGAGGACUGUAAGAUUUGUUGUAGUUUGCUGGUUUAAUUAGAGAAGCACCGUUUAACAAACUGGUUUCAGUCGUAGUUGGAUUGGAUUAAAGUGGAGCCCAUCUGUUACUGUAUUGAAUGCAACUAUGAUUGUGGCUCAAAUUAAAUCAGUUUUUGUUUUUCCCACUUUGUUUUUAUGUAAAUUGCCUUUAGUAGUCACUUUGUUUUGAUUCAAUGCUACAAGAUUAAAUUAACUUUGAAUUAAAGUCGAUUUCACUGACAUUGAUUCUCUACAUUUUCUCUAAAUUGACUUUGAAUAAUUGAAAAUAUUUUGAAAACUCAGCAUUCUCUGUGGAAAAUGCUCCCUGUUCUGCAUAGAGAAUGGGUAGCACUUCUGUAUGGAGCAGAAUAGUGCAUUUUGCAUUUGCAGUGGUUGUGUGAGGUACCUAUGAGCAGUCAGUGUCUUACCAGCAGUAGAAGUGGUUCAGCAUGUCCAGAGUCUGGAGUUCCCACCGAUGAGCUAAGUUAACUGGCUCGUAGGUUUGGGUUUACCACAUUUUUGGCUAUCAGAAAAAAUAAACUUCAAACAAUUCUUUGUGUUUGAUGCUGUU